Molecule: long non-coding RNA, 183 nt
Organism: Bradysia coprophila
Lineage: Eukaryota; Metazoa; Arthropoda; Insecta; Diptera; Sciaridae
Source: RefSeq, a predicted model, not a curated record
GUAAUCGAAUGCCGAAUAGAAUGUUGUUGAAAAAAAAUUAAAUUUGGGUCCUUGGACUAAGGCCACUACUAGGGCCCUAUGUGUAUUUUACAUACAACUCGAGUAAAUUUCAUCCGUAUGUCGUAAUUAUUGUUUCAUUUAGAAGGUAAUGGAAGGCCGAAUAGAAUGUGGCUAAAAACGUUU